ACAGCAUGCUGUUUCGCUGACGAGUGGCGGACGGGUGAGUAAUGUCUGGGAAACUGCCUGAUGGAGGGGGAUAACUACUGGAAACGGUAGCUAAUACCGCAUAACGUCGCAAGACCAAAGAGGGGGACCCUCGGGCCUCUUGCCAUCGGAUGUGCCCAGAUGGGAUUAGCUUGUUGGUGGGGUAACGGCUCACCAAGGCGACGAUCCCUAGCUGGUCUGAGAGGAUGACCAGCCACACUGGAACUGAGACACGGUCCAGACUCCUACGGGAGGCAGCAGUGGGGAAUAUUGCACAAUGGGCGCAAGCCUGAUGCAGCCAUGCCGCGUGUAUGAAGAAGGCCUUCGGGUUGUAAAGUACUUUCAGCGGGGAGGAAGGGAGUAAAGUUAAUACCUUUGCUCAUUGACGUUACCCGCAGAAGAAGCACCGGCUAACUCCGUGCCAGCAGCCGCGGUAAUACGGAGGGUGCAAGCGUUAAUCGGAAUUACUGGGCGUAAAGCGCACGCAGGCGGUUUGUUAAGUCAGAUGUGAAAUCCCCGGGCUCAACCUGGGAACUGCAUCUGAUACUGGCAAGCUUGAGUCUCGUAGAGGGGGGUAGAAUUCCAGGUGUAGCGGUGAAAUGCGUAGAGAUCUGGAGGAAUACCGGUGGCGAAGGCGGCCCCCUGGACGAAGACUGACGCUCAGGUGCGAAAGCGUGGGGAGCAACCAGGAUUAGAUACCCUGGUAGUCCACGCCGUAAACGAUGUCGACUUGGAGGUUGUGCCCUUGAGGCGUGGCUUCCGGAGCUAACGCGUUAAGUCGACCGCCUGGGGAGUACGGCCGCAAGGUUAAAACUCAAAUGAAUUGACGGGGGCCCGCACAAGCGGUGGAGCAUGUGGUUUAAUUCGAUGCAACGCGAAGAACCUUACCUGGUCUUGACAUCCACGGAAGUUUUCAGAGAUGAGAAUGUGCCUUCGGGAACCGUGAGACAGGUGCUGCAUGGCUGUCGUCAGCUCGUGUUGUGAAAUGUUGGGUUAAGUCCCGCAACGAGCGCAACCCUUAUCCUUUGUUGCCAGCGGUCCGGCCGGGAACUCAAAGGAGACUGCCAGUGAUAAACUGGAGGAAGGUGGGGAUGACGUCAAGUCAUCAUGGCCCUUACGACCAGGGCUACACACGUGCUACAAUGGCGCAUACAAAGAGAAGCGACCUCGCGAGAGCAAGCGGACCUCAUAAAGUGCGUCGUAGUCCGGAUUGGAGUCUGCAACUCGACUCCAUGAAGUCGGAAUCGCUAGUAAUCGUGGAUCAGAAUGCCACGGUGAAUACGUUCCCGGGCCUUGUACACACCGCCCGUCACACCAUGGGAGUGGGUUGCAAAAGAAGUAGGUAGCUUAACCUUCGGGAGGGCGCUUACCACUUUGUGAUUCAUGACUGGGUGAAGUCGUAACAAGGUA
Molecule: ribosomal RNA, 1428 nt
Filed under: metagenome
Description: bacterial SSU rRNA
Rfam family: Bacterial small subunit ribosomal RNA
Source: RNAcentral